ACCAAUUCUAGCCCAUAAACCCACUCACACUAAAUUACCAAUUUACUAUAAAUAAAACAUUUACCUACCAUUAAAAGUAUAGGAGAUAGAAAUUUUAACAUGGCGCUAUAGAGACAGUACCGUAAGGGAACGAUGAAAGAAAAAAAUCAAAGUACAAAAAAGCAAAGAUUAUCCCUUGUACCUUUUGCAUAAUGAAUUAACUAGUAAAAACUUAACAAAAUGAAUUUUAGCUAAGUACCCCGAAACCAGACGAGCUACUUAUAAACAAUUUAUCAAGAACUAACUCAUCUAUGUAGCAAAAUAGUGAGAAGAUUUGUAAGUAGAGGUGAAACGCCUAACGAGCCUGGUGAUAGCUGGUUGUCCAGAAAAUGAAUGUUAGUUCAGCUUUAAAAAUACCAAAAAUAUAAAUAAAUUAUGAUGUAUUUUUAAAAGUUAGUCUAAAAGGGUACAGCCUUUUAGAAAUGGAUACAACCUUAAUUAGAGAGUAAGAUUUAAUAUAUGCCAUAGUAGGCUUAAAAGCAGCCACCAAUUAAGAAAGCGUUAAAGCUCAACGACAAAACAAUAUUAAUUUCAACAACAAAUAAUUAACUCCUAACCUAAUACUGGACUAAUCUAUUAAGAAUAGAAGAANNNNNNNNNNNNNNNNNNNNNNNNNNNNNNNNNNNNNNNNNNNNNNNNNNNNNNNNNNNNAUAAUAUUCUGACUAUUAACAGCAAAAUAAGAAUAGCCCACCCAUAAACAACUUAUUUAUUAUACUGUUAACCCAACACAGGAGUGCACCUAAGGAAAGGUUAAAAAAAGUAAAAGGAACUCGGCAAACCUAAACCCCGCCUGUUUACCAAAAACAUCACCUCUAGCAUUACUAGUAUUAGAGGCACUGCCUGCCCAGUGACACACGUUUAACGGCCGCGGUACCCUGACCGUGCAAAGGUAGCAUAAUCACUUGUUCUUUAAAUAAGGACUUGUAUGAAUGGCCACACGAGGGUUUUACUGUCUCUUACUUCUAAUCAGUGAAAUUGACCUUCCCGUGAAGAGGCGGGAAUACAUUAAUAAGACGAGAAGACCCUAUGGAGCUUUAACUACUUAACCCAAAGAAACAAAAUUUAUUUCUAAGGAAACAACAACAUUCUUUAUGGGUUAACAGCUUUGGUUGGGGUGACCUCGGAGAAUAAAAAAUCCUCCGAGCGAUUUUAAAGACUAGACCCACAAGUCAAAUUACACAAUCGCUUAUUGAUCCAAUAACUUGAUCAACGGAACAAGUUACCCUAGGGAUAACAGCGCAAUUCUAUUCUAGAGUCCAUAUCGACAAUAGAGCUUACGACCUCGAUGUUGGAUCAGGACAUCCUAAUGGUGCAGCAGCUAUCAAGGGUUCGUUUGUUCAACGAUUAAAGUCCUACGUGAUCUGAGUUCAGACCGGAGCAAUCCAGGUCGGUUUCUAUCUAUUGCACAUUUCUCCUAGUACGAAAGGACCAGAGAAAUAAGGCCAACUUCAAAUAAGCGCCUUAAAUUAAUUAAUGAUAUUAUCUUAAUUAACUCUACAAAUAAAACCCACCCUAGAAAAGGGUUUU
Molecule: ribosomal RNA, 1567 nt
Filed under: Muntiacus muntjak (muntjak)
Lineage: Eukaryota; Metazoa; Chordata; Mammalia; Artiodactyla; Cervidae
Also listed under: 1 other name
Description: 16S ribosomal RNA
Rfam family: Bacterial large subunit ribosomal RNA
Source: RNAcentral